Molecule: ribosomal RNA, 253 nt
Filed under: uncultured bacterium
Lineage: Bacteria
Description: partial 16S ribosomal RNA
Rfam family: Bacterial small subunit ribosomal RNA
Source: RNAcentral
UACGGAGGGUGCAAGCGUUAUCCGGAGUCACUGGGUUUAAAGGGUGCGUAGGCGGAUAUGUAAGUCCGUGGUGAAAUCUCUGGGCUUAACCCGGAAACUGCCAUGGAUACUAUGUGUCUUGAAUGUUGUUGAGGUGAGCGGAAUAUGUCAUGUAGCGGUGAAAUGCUUAGAUAUGACAUAGAACACCAAUUGCGAAGGCAGCUCACUAAGCAAAUAUUGACGCUGAGGCACGAAAGCGUGGGGAUCAAACAGG